This 301-nucleotide ribosomal RNA is filed under the name uncultured bacterium. RNAcentral describes it as "partial 16S ribosomal RNA". It matches the Rfam family "Bacterial small subunit ribosomal RNA", at positions 509 to 807 of the family's 1533-position model. The record is from RNAcentral.
CAGUCGCCACGGGAAUACGAAGGGUGCAAGCGUUACUCGGAAUUACUGGGCGUAAAGCGUGCGUAGGUGGUGGUUUAAGUCCGUUGUGAAAGCCCUGGGCUCAACCUGGGAAUUGCAGUGGAUACUGGGUCACUAGAGUGUGGUAGAGGAUAGUGGAAUUUCCGGUGUAGCAGUGAAAUGCGUAGAGAUCGGAAGGAACAUCUGUGGCGAAGGCGACUAUCUGGGCCAAUACUGACGCUCAUGCACGAAAGCGUGGGGAGCAAACAGGAUUAGAUACCCCCGUAGUCCCUGUCUCUUAUAC